RNAcentral lists this ribosomal RNA (106 nucleotides) under Myotis brandtii (Brandt's bat). The record is from RNAcentral. Lineage: Eukaryota; Metazoa; Chordata; Mammalia; Chiroptera; Vespertilionidae.
UCUCUAUACCAUACCACCCUGAACGCGCCCAAUCUCGUCUGAUCUCAGAAGCUAAGCAGGGUUGGGCCUGGUUAGUACUUGGAUGGGAGAGCAUGAGAUUUUUGAC